UUUAGAGUUUGAUCCUGGCUCAGAUUGAACGCUGGCGGCAGGCUUAACACAUGCAAGUCGAGCGGUAACAGGGGGAGCUUGCUCCCUGCUGACGAGCGGCGGACGGGUGAGUAAUGCAUAGGAAUCUGCCCAGUAGUUGGGGAUAGCCCGGGGAAACCCGGAUUAAUACCGAAUACGCCCUACGGGGGAAAGCAGGGGAUCUUCGGACCUUGCGCUAUUGGAUGAGCCUAUGUCGGAUUAGCUAGUUGGUGGGGUAACGGCCUACCAAGGCGACGAUCCGUAGCUGGUCUGAGAGGAUGAUCAGCCACAUCGGGACUGAGACACGGCCCGAACUCCUACGGGAGGCAGCAGUGGGGAAUAUUGGACAAUGGGGGCAACCCUGAUCCAGCCAUGCCGCGUGUGUGAAGAAGGCUUUCGGGUUGUAAAGCACUUUCAGUGAGGAGGAAAACCUUACGGCUAAUAACCGUGAGGCUUGAGAGUACUCACAGAAGAACGCACCGC
This 501-nucleotide ribosomal RNA is filed under the name Marinobacter sp. V3-130. RNAcentral describes it as "bacterial SSU rRNA". It matches the Rfam family "Bacterial small subunit ribosomal RNA", at positions 1 to 497 of the family's 1533-position model. Lineage: Bacteria; Pseudomonadati; Pseudomonadota; Gammaproteobacteria; Pseudomonadales; Marinobacteraceae. The record is from RNAcentral.